This 459-nucleotide ribosomal RNA is filed under the name Schizochytrium aggregatum. RNAcentral's name for it is "partial Eukaryotic large subunit ribosomal RNA". It matches the Rfam family "Eukaryotic large subunit ribosomal RNA", at positions 1530 to 1995 of the family's 3401-position model. The record is from RNAcentral. Lineage: Eukaryota; Bigyra; Thraustochytrida; Thraustochytriidae.
AUGGGUUAGCCGAACCUGAUGGAGCCAGAUUCUGCCAAUGAGGCCUUGCCUGCUCCUUGACAGAGAAUGGGGUUAACAUUCCUCAGCCAGGACGUGGAUAAUGCAUGGUGACAUAAGCCAACUUGGCAAUACAGGGGGAAGCCUUUGGAAGCGUUAUCUCUUCUUUUUGAUGGUGUAGUGCCCUGGAAUCAGAUUGUUUGGUGGUAGGGAUUGUUGAUGAGCAGAGCACCUUGUUUGCUGAGGUAUCUCAGUGUGCUUCCAGUGGUCCAUGAAAAGCCUGAGGAAGGACUUAUUCACCCCCCUGGUCGUGCCCACAACCGCAUCAGGUCUCCCAGGUUAGCUGCCUCUGGUCUGUGGAAUGAACUGGGUGAGGGAAGUCGGCAAAUUGGAUCUGGAACUUUGGGAAAAGGAUUGGCUCUGAGGGGUGGGUGUGGGGAUCCUUGUGUUGAUGCUUGAACC